Molecule: long non-coding RNA, 2482 nt
Filed under: Phasianus colchicus (ring-necked pheasant)
Lineage: Eukaryota; Metazoa; Chordata; Aves; Galliformes; Phasianidae
Description: lncRNA (ENSPCLG00000013520.1)
Source: RNAcentral
CAGUUGUUGGUUCUGGUCCCGGUGUUGUGGGUUCUGGUGUCAGUUCUGGGCCAAUUGUUGGUUCUGGUCACAGUGUUGUGGGUUCUGGUGUCGGUCCUGGUCCAACUGUUGGUUCUGGUCCUGGUGUUGGUUCAGGUGUUGGUCCUGGUUCUGGUGUUGGUUCAAUUGUUGGUCCUGGUCCAAUUGUUGGUUCUGGUCCCAGUGUUGGUUCAGGUGCUGGUCCUGGUUCUGGUGUCAGUUCUGGUCCCAGGGUUGGUCCGGGUGUUUUUCCUGGUCCUGGUGUUGGUCCUGGUUCUGGUGUUGGUCCAGGUGUUUUUCCUGGUCCCGGUGUCAGUCCUGGUUCUGGUGUUGGUCCAGGUUUUGGUCCUGGUCCUGGUGUCAGUUCCGGUCCCAGUAUUGGUCCAGGUGUUGGUCCUGGUGUCAGUCCCGGUUCCGGUGUCGGUUCUGGUUCUGGUGUUGAUGACAGUCCCAGUGUCAGCCCCUGGUCCCGUUGUUGGACCGGUGUCGGUUCUGGUCCCAGUGUUGUUCUGGUCCUGAUGCCGGUUCUGGUUCUGGUGUCGGUUCUGGUCCCGGUGUUGUUCCGGUCCUGGUGUACCUUAUGGUCCUGGUGUUGGUCCCGGUGUCGGUUCUGGUUCUGGUGUCAGUUCUGGUCCUGGUGUUGUUCCCAGUCCUGGUGUCGGUUCUGGUUCUGGUGUCAGUUCUGGUCCUGGUGUUGUUCCUGGUCCCGGUGUUGGUUCUGGUUCUGGUGUCGGUUCUGGUCCUGGUGUUGUUCCCAGUCCUGGGGUACCUUACAGUCCCACUGUUGGUCCCGGUGUUGGUUCUGGUUCUGGUGUCAGUUCUGGUCCUGGUGUUGUUCCUGGUCCUGGUGUUGGUUCUGAUCCUGGUGUCGUUCCUGGUCCCGGUGUUGGUUCUGGUUCUGGUGCCGGUUCUGGUCCCGGUGUUGUUCCCAGUCCUGGUGUCCCUUACAGUCCCACUGUUGGUCCCAGUGUCAGUUCUGGUCCUGGUGUUGUUCCUGGUCCCGGUGUCGGUUCUGGUCCUGGUGUCGGUUCUGGUCCCAGUGUUGGUUCUGGUCCCGGUGUUGUUCCGGUCCUGGUGUCAGUUCUGGUCCUGUUGUUGUUCCUGGUCCUGGUGUCGAUUCUGGUCCCGGUGUCAGACCCAGUAUUGCUGUCAGUCCCACUGUUGGUUCCGGUUCUGGUGGUACUGCUGGUUCCGGUGUCGCUCCCGGUCCAAAUUUUAAUCCAGUCCAGGCUUUAUUCCCAGCCCAGCUCUUGCUCUCAACUCCAGUCCAGGUUUUACCGGUUCCAGUCCAGGUGUUGCUCCCAGUCCGGGUUUUAUUCCCACUCCGGGUUUUGCUUCCACUCCAGUCCAGCUCCCAACUCCAGUCCGGGUUUUACUGUCAGCUCCAGUCCGGUUUUUAUUCCCAGUCCAGGUUUUGCUCCCAACUCCAGUCCGGGUUUUAUUCCCACUCCGGUUUUGCUUCCAACUCCAGUCCAGCUCCCAACUCCAGUCCGGGUUUUACCGUCUGCUCCAGUCCGGGUUUUAUUCCCAGUCCAGGUUUUGCUCCCAACUCCAGUCCGGGUUUUAUUCCCAGUCCGGGUUUUGCUCCCAACUCCAGUCCGGGUUUUAUUCCCACUCCGGGUUUUGCUUCCACUCCACCUGUUGCUCCCAACUCCAGUCCAGGUCUCACCGCCAGCUCCAGUCCGGGUUUUAUUCCCAGUCCAGUCCAGCUCCCAACUUCAAUCCGGGUUUUACCAUCAGCUGCAGUCCGGGUUUUAUUCCCAGUCCAGAUCCCAAAUCCAAUCCGGGUUUUACCUUCAGCUCCAGUCCGGGUUUUAUUCCCAGUCCAGCUCCCAACUCCAGUCCGGGUUUUACCGUCAGCUCCACUCCGGGUUUUAUUCCCACCCCACCUGUUGCUCCCAACUCCAGUCCGGGUUCCAGCUCCGGAUCGGCUGCUAUUGGUCCCGGUUCCGCCGUUCCAGCCCCGGUUCGGUCGUUCCCGGUCCCGGCCCGGCUGCUAUUGGUUCCGGUUCUGCCGUUCCCGGUCCCGGUUCUGCCGUUCCAGCCCCGGUUCUGCCGGUCCCGGUCCCGGUUCGGCUGUUGCUGGCUCCGGUUCCGCCGUUCCCGGUCCGGUUCUGCCGUUGCCGGUCCCGGUCCGGCUGUUGUCAGCCCCGGUCCGGCUACUCUUGGUCCCGGUUCCGCCGUUCCCAGCCCCGGUUCUGCCGUUCCAGCCCCGGUUCUGCCGGUCCCGGUCCCGGUUCUGCUGUUGCCGGUCCCGGUUCUGCCGUUCCUGGUCCCGGUUCUGCCGUUCCAGCCCCGGUUCGGCCGUUCCCGGUCCCGGUUCGGCUGCUAUUGGUCCCGGUCCGGCCGUUGUCAGCCUCGGUCCGGCUGCUAUCGGUCCCGGUUCUGCCGCUCUUGGUCCCGGUUCGGCCGUUUCCGGUCCGGUUCGGCUGCUGUUGGUCCCGGUUCGGCCGUUUCCGGUCCG